CACAAACACACACACUGGACACACACACACACUGGACACACACACACACACACACACACACACACACACACACACACACACACACACACACACACACUGGACACACACACACACACACACACACACACACACACACACUGGACACACACACACACUGGACACACACACACACACUGGGACACACACACACACACACACACUGGACACACACACACACACACUGGACACACACACACACACACACUGGACACACACACACACACUGGACACACACACACUGGACACACACACACACACUGGACACACACACACACACACACACUGGACACACACACACACACACACACACACACACACACACACACACACACACACUGGACAAACAAACACACACUGGACACACACAUACACACACACUGGACAAACACACACACACUAGACAAACAAACACACACACAAACACAGUGGACACACACACACACACACACACACACACACACACACACACACUCUGGACACACACACACACACACACAUGUGCGUCUUCCUAUAGUUGUGAGGACCUCUUACAAUAACACUGUUAAAAUACCAAUGUGAUCAUUUGUUGUGUUUUAUGUUGAAAAACAAAUUGUAUAAUUAUAUAUGGACAUACGCUCCAUAGUUGUACAAGUAUACAAGGAUAUAUUGUACUUUUCAUAAUAAAACAUACUUGAAACAAGAAAAGGCUGUUAAUUGUGAAAACAGUUUGUUUAUUGAUUUUACGUUUCCUCUGUCAGGUUGAUGUUAACCUGCGACUGGUUGAAACAUGAAACAAAUAUGAAAUGAAAUACAAAACAAUUAAAUAUGUGGAAUAGAAUUAAACAAAUUGUACAAUUAAGUGUUGUAAUGCAGGGUCACUAUAGCAACAGAGUGUUGUAAUGCAGGGUCACUAUAGCAACAGAGUGUUGUGAUGCAGGGGCACUAUAGCAACAGAGUGUUGUGAUGCAGGGUCACUAUAGCAACAGAGUGUUGUGAUGCAGGGUCACUAUAGCAACAGAGUGUUGUGAUGCAGGGUCACUAUAGCAACAGUGUUGUGAUGCAGGGUCACUAUAGCAACAGAGUUUUGUGAUGCAGGGCCACUAUAGCAACAGAGUGUUGUCAUGCAGGGGCACUAUAGCAACAGAGUGUUGUGAUGCAGGGUCACUAUAGCAACAGAGUGUUGUGAUGCAGGGUCACUAUGCAGGGUCACUAUAGCAACAGAGUGUUGUGAUGAUUCCGGUGGAAUCUCUCCAGACCAGAGGAACCAGAGGAACCCUGUGACGUCAUCAACAGAGAGAUUCUCUACUCUCUCUGCUCUCUCUCUGCUCUCUCUCUGCUCUCUCUCUGCUCUCUCUCUCUGCUCUCUCUCUCUGCUUUCUGCUCUCUCUGCUGACUCUCUCUCUCUCUCUCUGCUCUCUCUCUCUGCUCUCUCUCUCUGCUCUCUC
This is a long non-coding RNA of Oncorhynchus tshawytscha (Chinook salmon), 1463 nucleotides long. NCBI's taxonomy places the organism in Eukaryota, Metazoa, Chordata, Actinopteri, Salmoniformes, Salmonidae. The record is from Ensembl.